Long non-coding RNA from Candoia aspera, 1031 nucleotides. RefSeq lists it as uncharacterized. The transcript has 2 exons. The record is from RefSeq and is a predicted model, not a curated record. NCBI's taxonomy places the organism in Eukaryota, Metazoa, Chordata, Lepidosauria, Squamata, Candoiidae.
UCCAAGUUCAAAGUGUAUCUUUCACUUUCUCCCAACACAGAUCUUGCCAUUUGGACUGUCUGCAGCACCUCCUAUCAAGGAAAUAAAACUUCCGGCUCAUGAAUUAAAAGCACCCAGUGCUACGGGUAAGAAAAAAAGAAGCAGAACCAGCACUGGGACUUUGAAACCAGCAAAGGUUGCAAAAAAAAAAAAAAAGAGGAUUAAUGAGCAUCUCACCUCAAAGUUUUCUACUGAAGACUUAAUUUCCUGGAAUCCUGUGAACAGAUCUGAAGUGCUAUUCCAGCAAGCAGCUGAAAUGCUAGAUUCUCCUCUCCCUAAUGAGGACAGCAGACUCCUACAGACCAAUGACUGAAAAUACUGCCUCUGGUAAGUGCACCACCCAUUGUAAAGGUAGUAUUUGUAGUUAUGUCUCUUAUGAUGUUCCAGCCGUCAAGACAAAUAACACCCUAACCAUACACACAUAUCCCUCAGAUUGUUUAGUGAAAUAUUGUCUUUCAACUGCUCCGAUUGAAAUAGCAAAUGACAACUAUUUCUGUAAAAACUGACAAUCUGAAGAAAUCCUUCUGAAGCCCUCAUAGGAGCCUUACAGAAAACAAACUAACUUCAGUGAGCUGCUGUGCUGGAUACCCCACCAUCUGGGUGGGUAAGUAGCCUGGAAAGAGCAAAUCUUGUGCUCCUUCAAGCUCGAGUAACAAAAAGGACUCUGUCCUCAUAUAUCAGCAUGAACAAUUGUUCUGUCUGUUCUUAAUAACAACAUUAAUGCAGGGUGAUUGACUUCCAGAGGUGCUGAUCAUUUUUUCCUAAGCCAACUACUUCACUGUCAACCUCAUGCCAUUGUCAUUGUUCAUAUGAAAUGCUUCCCACUAUGACCAGCAAAGAAAAAAAGGAUUCAGUUGCUUUUCACCAAUCCAGCUAUACCAUCACUGCUUUUAAUAAUGAGGACCUUUUUGAGGACUUUUAGAAUUACCUCCAUUUGGGUAUUCUCUGAUGUCAACAUGAGACCUCUUCUUCAAUAAUAUUACAUCAGCUCA